UUUUAUCCUCCGGGCUGCUUCUGCUGCAGCUGAAGGCACACUGCUCCCUGAGUGCUCAUGGGUUUCUACCUUGGAGCCAGCUGGCUGCACUGGAGUGGGACUGGGAGGAGUUGGAGGGCCCGAGAUGGGACAGGUGCUAACUGAGGGCACCUCUACCCAUCUGGCUUUCAUUUUCCAAUCUGGCACCUUGUCCAGGCGGGCCUCCCGUUUCUGGCUCCGGGCUGAGCUUCCUGGAGAAGAGGAAGAGGGAGCCCACAGCUGUGGGAGGGGCUGCUACUGCUGCCGCUGCUGCCGCUGCCGCCGCUGCCGCUGCCGCCGCCAUUGGACAAACCUCACCAGUACCUGCACAGGAGAAACACCACGGAUCACAGCGCGAUCUGAAUGGGUGCGUGCUGGUAAAGCCCGGCCCGUGUACUCCACCUGCCCCAGGAGCUGGAGACAAGACCUUGUGGCUGCGCAGCGGAAACCUUGCCUUGUGACCCCUGGAACUGGCUUUCUUGACUACUCCUUCCCCAGAGCAGCCAAGUUCCACUCCCGCUUUCCCCACACAUUACCAGGAGGUUCAACCUCUCUGGCAGAUCAUCUCUUC
This 589-nucleotide long non-coding RNA is filed under the name Homo sapiens (human). RNAcentral describes it as "MVP divergent transcript". The record is from RNAcentral. Lineage: Eukaryota; Metazoa; Chordata; Mammalia; Primates; Hominidae.